GACGAACGCUGGCGGCGUGCCUAACACAUGCAAGUUGAGCGACGAACCAGGGCUUGCCCUGGGGCAAAGCAGCGAACGGGUGAGUAACACGUGUGUAACCUACCCCGAUAACCGGGACAACCCGAGGAAACUCGGGCUAAUACCGGAUGUGCUCACUGGACUUCGGUUCAGUGCGUAAAGGAAGCUUCGGCCUCCGUAUCGGGAGGGGCCCGCGGCCCAUUAGUUUGUUGGUGAGGUAACGGCUCACCAAGACCGCGAUGGGUAGCUGGUCUGAGAGGACGAUGCGCGACACUGGGACUGAGACACGGCCCAGACUCCUACGGGAGGCAGAAGUGGGGAAGCUUGCGCAAUGCGCGAAAGCGUGACGCAGCAACGCCGCGUGGGGGAAGAAGGCCUUCGGGUUGUAAACCCCUUUCAGGAGGGACGAAGGUUCGGCGGUGAAUAGCCGUCCGGACUGACGGUACCUCCACAAGAAGCCCCGGCUAACUACGUG
RNAcentral lists this ribosomal RNA (493 nucleotides) under uncultured bacterium. Its description in RNAcentral is "partial 16S ribosomal RNA". It matches the Rfam family "Bacterial small subunit ribosomal RNA", at positions 28 to 507 of the family's 1533-position model. The record is from RNAcentral.